UUGGAGGGCAAGUCUGGUGCCAGCAGCCGCGGUAAUUCCAGCUCCAAUAGCGUAUAUUAAAGUUGUUGCAGUUAAAAAGCUCGUAGUUGAAUUUCGGGGUCAGUAGGUUGGUCGUGCCUAUGGUAUGUACUGGCUUUACUGAUUCCUCCUUCUUGAAGAACUGUAAUGUCAUUAAUUUGGUGCUGCAGGGAAACAGGACUGUUACUUUGAAAAAAUUAGAGUGUUUAAAGCGGGCUAACGCUUGAAUACAUUAGCAUGGAAUAAUGAAAUAGGACGUUCGAUCCUAUUUUGUUGGUUUCUAGGAUUGACGUAAUGAUUAAUAGGGAUAGUUGGGGGCAUUAGUAUUCAAUUGUCAGAGGUGAAAUUCUUGGAUUUAUUGAAGACUAACUAUUGCGAAAGCAUUUGCCAAGGAUGUUUUCAUUAAUCAAGAACGAAAGUUAGGGGAUCGAAGACGAUCAGAUACCGUCGUAGUCUUAACCAUAAACUAUGCCGACUAGGAAUCGGGCGACGUUAUUUUCACGACUCGUUCGGCGCCUUACGGGAAAC
Molecule: ribosomal RNA, 546 nt
Filed under: uncultured Glomeromycotina
Lineage: Eukaryota; Fungi; Glomeromycota
Description: SSU rRNA
Rfam family: Eukaryotic small subunit ribosomal RNA
Source: RNAcentral